AAUAUUGGACAAUGGGCGCAAGCCUGAUCCAGCAAUGCCGCGUGAGUGAAGAAGGCCCUAGGGUUGUCCAGCUCUUUCGCCCGCGCCGAUGAUGACGGUCGCGGGAGAAGAAGCCCCGGCUAACUCCCUGCCAGCAGCCGCGGUAAUACGGAGGGGGCUAGCGUUGUUCGGAAUUACUGGGCGUAAAGGGCGCGUAGGCGGCCCGCCAAGUCCGGCGUGAAAGUCCUGGGCUCAACCCGGGGACGGCGCUGGAGACUGGCGGGCUGGAGUCCGGGAGAGGGUGGCGGAAUUCCCAGUGUAGAGGUGAAAUUCGUAGAUAUUGGGAAGAACACCGGUGGCGAAGGCGGCCACCUGGCCCGGGACUGACGCUGAGGCGCGAAAGCGUGGGGAGCAAACAGG
Molecule: ribosomal RNA, 399 nt
Filed under: uncultured bacterium
Lineage: Bacteria
Description: partial 16S ribosomal RNA
Rfam family: Bacterial small subunit ribosomal RNA
Source: RNAcentral